RNAcentral lists this unclassified non-coding RNA (313 nucleotides) under plant metagenome. RNAcentral describes it as "partial contains 5.8S ribosomal RNA, internal transcribed spacer 2, and large subunit ribosomal RNA". The stretch from base 1 to 105 matches the Rfam family "5.8S ribosomal RNA", at positions 50 to 154 of the family's 154-position model. The record is from RNAcentral.
GAAAUGCGAUAAGUAAUGUGAAUUGCAGAAUUCCGUGAAUCAUCGAAUCUUUGAACGCACAUUGCGCCCUCUGGCAUUCCGGGGGGCAUGCCUGUCCGAGCGUCAUUACGCACCCUCAAGCCCGGCUUGUGUGAUGGGCCCCGGCGUCUCGUUCGCGAGACGGGCCCGAAAGGCAGCGGCGGCGUCGACCCGAUGAGCCCGGGCGUAUGGGGACUUCUGUCACACGUUCGCGGUGCGGACCGGCGCCUGCUUUGACUUUUCUGAUUAUCCAGGUUGACCUCGGAUCAGGUAGGGAUACCCGCUGAACUUAAGC